RNAcentral lists this non-coding RNA (30 nucleotides) under Homo sapiens (human). Lineage: Eukaryota; Metazoa; Chordata; Mammalia; Primates; Hominidae. The record is from RNAcentral.
UGGACACUGUGCCUAACUGAUUGUGUUCAA